Molecule: ribosomal RNA, 433 nt
Filed under: uncultured bacterium
Lineage: Bacteria
Description: partial 16S ribosomal RNA
Rfam family: Bacterial small subunit ribosomal RNA
Source: RNAcentral
AACGAACGCUGGCGGCAUGCCUAACACAUGCAAGUCGAACGAGACCUUCGGGUCUUGUUGCGCACGGGUGCGUAACGCGUGGGAACCUUCCCUUAGGUUCGGAAUAACUCCCCGAAGGGGGCGCUAAUACCGGAUAAUGUCUUCGGACCAAUGAUUUAUCGCCUCAGGAUUGGUACGCAUUCGAUUAGCUAGUUGGUAGGGUAAAAGCCUACCAAGGCGACGUUCCAUAGCUGGUGUGGAAGGAUGACCAGCAACACUGGGACUGAGACCCGGCCCAGAUUCCCACGGGAGGCAGCAGUUGGGACUAUUGGACGAUGGGCGAGAGCCGAAGCCAGCAAUGCCGCGUGAGUGUUUAAGGACUUAGGGUUGUAAAGCUCUUUUGCCCGGGAUGAUAGUGACGGUACCGGGAGAAUAAGCUCCGGCUAACUCCGUG